GUGACUGCGUACCUUUUGUAUAAUGGGUCAGCGACUUAUAUUUUGUAGCGAGGUUAACUGAAUAAGGGAGCCGAAGGGAAACCGAGUCUUAACUGGGCGAAGAGUUGCAAGGUAUAGACCCGAAACCCGGUGAUCUAGCCAUGGGCAGGUUGAA
RNAcentral lists this ribosomal RNA (154 nucleotides) under Haemophilus influenzae. Its description in RNAcentral is "partial 23S ribosomal RNA". It matches the Rfam family "Bacterial large subunit ribosomal RNA", at positions 593 to 749 of the family's 2925-position model. The record is from RNAcentral. Lineage: Bacteria; Pseudomonadati; Pseudomonadota; Gammaproteobacteria; Pasteurellales; Pasteurellaceae.